This 335-nucleotide long non-coding RNA is filed under the name Panax ginseng (ginseng). Its description in RNAcentral is "long non-coding RNA (PGIN_LNC012383)". The record is from RNAcentral. Lineage: Eukaryota; Viridiplantae; Streptophyta; Magnoliopsida; Apiales; Araliaceae.
AUAGUUCAUGAUUGUGUAUAAGUGAAGGUUACUCGAUUCUGGGGAAAUGUGUGUAAAGUUUAAUGUAUAAACAAUCUAUGUUUAGAUCUUCCGCAAACAGUUGUAGAAUGAUUGUACCGAAUCCGCGGCGAUUUGGGACCCGGAUUCGGGGACGUCACAGUUGGUAUCAAAGCCAUAAGCAUGAAUUUGCAAAGAGCCCCGAGCCUUUAUCUGGUGACAUCCCUUUAAGGGAAGGCACCGAAGCCAGACUUUCCGUAGGGGACGCCGAGCGAGUCGGUGGCAAGUUGAUAGGUACCCUUGUGAGGUGCUAUGGUUGGAAGCACCAUGAGCGUCAC